GACGCACGCUGGCGGCGUGCUUAACACAUGCAAGUCGAACGAAGUGGCGAACGGGUGAGUAACGCGUAAUCAACCUGCCCUUCAGAGGGGGACACCAGUUGGAAACGACUGCUAAUACCGCAUACUGAAGAGAGGGAUUGCGGCUGAAUAACUAGUUGGUGGGGUAAAGGCCUACCAAGGCGACGAUCCGUAGCUGGUCUGAGAGGAUGAUCAGUCACACUGGAACUGAGACACGGUCCAGACUCCUACGGGAGGCAGCAGUGGGGAAUAUUGGACAAUGGGCGAAAGCCUGAUCCAGCCAUGCCGCGUGUGUGAAGAAGGUCUUCGGAUUGUAAAGCACUUUAAGUUGGGAGGCGUUACCAACAGAAUAAGCACCGGCUAACUUCGUGCCAGCAGCCGCGGUAAUAC
This 408-nucleotide ribosomal RNA is filed under the name uncultured bacterium. Its description in RNAcentral is "partial 16S ribosomal RNA". It matches the Rfam family "Bacterial small subunit ribosomal RNA", at positions 28 to 526 of the family's 1533-position model. The record is from RNAcentral.